GUCGGCUACGAGGACGACGCUGGCGGCGUGCUUAACACAUGCAAGUCGAACGGAGUUCCUUGGAUAGAGGCUUCGGCCAAUUGAAUUGGAACUUAGUGGCGGACUGGUGAGUAACGCGUGAGGAACCUGCCUUUCAGAGGGGGACAACAGUUGGAAACGACUGCUAAUACCGCAUGACACAUUCGGAUGGCAUCACCUGAAUGUCAAAGAUUUUAUCGCUGAAAGAUGGCCUCGCGUCUGAUUAGUUAGUUGGUGGGGUAACGGCCCACCAAGGCGACGAUCAGUAGCCGGACUGAGAGGUUGACCGGCCACAUUGGGACUGAGAUACGGCCCAGACUCCUACGGGAGGCAGCAGUGGGGAAUAUUGGGCAAUGGACGCAAGUCUGACCCAGCAACGCCGCGUGAAGGAAGAAGGCUUUCGGGUUGUAAACUUCUUUUAAGUGGGAAGAGCAAAAGACGGUACCACUUGAAUAAGCCACGGCUAACUACGUG
Molecule: ribosomal RNA, 492 nt
Filed under: uncultured bacterium
Lineage: Bacteria
Description: bacterial SSU rRNA
Rfam family: Bacterial small subunit ribosomal RNA
Source: RNAcentral